GAAAGUAAAUAAGGGCGUAUGGGGAAUGCCUAGGCUCUUGGAGGCGAAGAAAGACGUGGUAAGCUGCGAAAAGCUCCGGGGAUUUGCAAACAAGAUUUGAUCCGGAGAUUUCUGAAUGGGACAACCCGUCAGGUAGAAGACCUGACACAUCGUAAGAUGGGCCAACCCUCUGAACUGAAACAUCUUAGUAGGAGGAGGAAAAGAAAGAAACAUCGAUUUCCUGAGUAGCGGCGAGCGAAAGGGAAAAAGCCUAAACCGGUAUUGUUACGGCAAUGCCGGGGUUGUAGGACUGCAACAUUCAAGUAACAAUGAACUGGAACGAUCUGGAAAGUUCGUCCAUAGAGGGUGAAAGGCCCGUACAGGUAAGUUCGUUAUGCGAUAGCAGUAUCCUGAGUAGGGCGGGACACGAGGAAUCCUGUCUGAAUCCGCCGGGACCACCCGGUAAGGCUAAAUACUCCCAAGAGACCGAUAGUGAACCAGUACCGUGAGGGAAAGGUGAAAAGAACCCCGAACAGGGGAGUGAAAUAGAACCUGAAACCAUACGCUUACAACCGGUCGGAGCAGCUUCGUGCUGUGACGGCGUGCCUAUUGAAUAAUGAGCCUACGAGUUACUAAUCACUGGCGAGGUUAAGUGCACGGAUGCACGGAGCCGAAGCGAAAGCGAGUCUGAACAGGGCGGCUAGUCAGUGGUUGUAGACGCGAAACCUUGCGAUCUACCCUUGAGCAGGUUGAAGGUUGGGUAAAACCAACUGGAGGACCGAACGAAUAAGCGUUGAAAAGCUUCUCGAUGACUUGAGGGUAGGGGUGAAAGGCUAAUCAAGCUGGGAAAUAGCUCGUACUCCCCGAAAUGCCUUUAGGGGCAGCGUUGUAAUUAAGAGUCUACUGGAGGUAGAGCUACUGAUUGGAUGCGGGGGCUUCACCGCCUACCAAAUCCUGACAAACUCCGAAUGCCAGUAGUAUGAUUUACAGCAGUGAGCGACCGGGUGCUAAUGUCCGGUUACGAGAGUGGAACAACACAGACCAGCAACUAAGGUCCCGAAGAGUAUACUAAGUUGAUCUAACGAUGUUUUGCUGCAGAGACAGCUAGGAUGUUAGCUUGGAAGCAGCUAUUCAUUCAAAGAGUGCGUAACAGCUCACUAGUCGAGCGGCAAAGCGUGGAUAAUAAACGGGCAUCAAGUAUACCACCGAAGUUCUGGGCACGAGAGUGCGGUAGGGGAGCAUUCCAUUGACGUCGAAGCCAUUCCGCGAGGAUAGGUGGAGUUUAUGGAAAAGCAAAUGUAGGCAUGAGUAACGAUAAUGCGGGAGAGUAACCCGCACACCGCAAGACCAAGGUUUCCUGAUCAACGCUAAUCGGAUCAGGGUUAGUCGGGUCCUAAGGGUAAGCCGAACGGUGAUCUCGAUGGACAAUCGGUUAAUAUUCCGAUACUAACAUAUACCUCGAUGGAGAGACGAAGGAACGUAAGUGACGCCGCCUGACGGAAUAGGUGGUUAAAGGGCGUAGGUAUAGGGACAGAUUAAGAGUUAGUCCUUGCUGAAAUCCGACAGUACGGAGCGGCUACGGCCAAUCUGAUAGUUCACCCAAGUCGACUUCCGAGAAAAUCUUCUAAGUUAUAGUAUAUGUUACCCGUACCGUAAACCGACACAGGUGGUCGAGGAGAGUAUCCUAAGGUGCUCGAGUGAAUCACGGUUAAGGAACUAGGCAAAUUAACCCCGUAACUUCGGGAAAAGGGGUCCCUAUGAGAGUAGGGCGCAGCGAAGAGGUCCAGGCGACUGUUUAUCAAAAACACAGGGCUCUGCAAAUUCGAAAGAAGACGUAUAGGGCCUGACACCUGCCCGGUGCUGGAAGGUUAAGAGGGGAUGUCAUCGCAAGAGAAGCAUUGAAUCGAAGCCCCAGUAAACGGCGGCCGUAACUAUAACGGUCCUAAGGUAGCGAAAUUCCUUGUCGGGUAAGUUCCGACCUGCACGAAUGG
This 1970-nucleotide ribosomal RNA is filed under the name human gut metagenome. RNAcentral's name for it is "bacterial LSU rRNA". It matches the Rfam family "Bacterial large subunit ribosomal RNA", at positions 1 to 1999 of the family's 2925-position model. The record is from RNAcentral.